CCGGGGCUAAUACCGGAUGGUUGUUUGAACCGCAUGGUUCAGACAUAAAAGGUGGCUUCGGCUACCACUUACAGAUGGACCCGCGGCGCAUUAGCUAGUUGGUGAGGUAACGGCUCACCAAGGCAACGAUGCGUAGCCGACCUGAGAGGGUGAUCGGCCACACUGGGACUGAGACACGGCCCAGACUCCUACGGGAGGCAGCAGUAGGGAAUCUUCCGCAAUGGACGAAAGUCUGACGGAGCAACGCCGCGUGAGUGAUGAAGGUUUUCGGAUCGUAAAGCUCUGUUGUUAGGGAAGAACAAGUGCCGUUCAAAUAGGGCGGCACCUUGACGGUACCUAACCAGAAAGCCACGGCUAACUACGUGCCAGCAGCCGCGGUAAUACGUAGGUGGCAAGCGUUGUCCGGAAUUAUUGGGCGUAAAGGGCUCGCAGGCGGUUUCUUAAGUCUGAUGUGAAAGCCCCCGGCUCAACCGGGGAGGGUCAUUGGAAACUGGGGAACUUGAGUGCAGAAGAGGAGAGUGGAAUUCCACGUGUAGCGGUGAAAUGCGUAGAGAUGUGGAGGAACACCAGUGGCGAAGGCGACUCUCUGGUCUGUAACUGACGCUGAGGAGCGAAAGCGUGGGGAGCGAACAGGAUUAGAUACCCUGGUAGUCCACGCCGUAAACGAUGAGUGCUAAGUGUUAGGGGGUUUCCGCCCCUUAGUGCUGCAGCUAACGCAUUAAGCACUCCGCCUGGGGAGUACGGUCGCAAGACUGAAACUCAAAGGAAUUGACGGGGGCCCGCACAAGCGGUGGAGCAUGUGGUUUAAUUCGAAGCAACGCGAAGAACCUUACCAGGUCUUGACAUCCUCUGACAAUCCUAGAGAUAGGACGUCCCCUUCGGGGGCAGAGUGACAGGUGGUGCAUGGUUGUCGUCAGCUCGUGUCGUGAGAUGUUGGGUUAAGUCCCGCAACGAGCGCAACCCUUGAUCUUAGUUGCCAGCAUUCAGUUGGGCACUCUAAGGUGACUGCCGGUGACAAACCGGAGGAAGGUGGGGAUGACGUCAAAUCAUCAUGCCCCUUAUGACCUGGGCUACACACGUGCUACAAUGGACAGAACAAAGGGCAGCGAAACCGCGAGGUUAAGCCAAUCCCACAAAUCUGUUCUCAGUUCGGAUCGCAGUCUGCAACUCGACUGCGUGAAGCUGGAAUCGCUAGUAAUCGCGGAUCAGCAUGCCGCGGUGAAUACGUUC
Molecule: ribosomal RNA, 1230 nt
Filed under: uncultured Bacillus sp.
Lineage: Bacteria; Bacillati; Bacillota; Bacilli; Caryophanales; Bacillaceae
Description: bacterial SSU rRNA
Rfam family: Bacterial small subunit ribosomal RNA
Source: RNAcentral